Molecule: ribosomal RNA, 450 nt
Filed under: uncultured bacterium
Lineage: Bacteria
Description: partial 16S ribosomal RNA
Rfam family: Bacterial small subunit ribosomal RNA
Source: RNAcentral
AGCGAACAUUGGCGGUAGGCUUAACACAUGCAAGUCGAGCGAGGCGUAAUAGUCGAGCGGCGAACGGGUGCGUAAUACAUGGGAAUCUACCUCGAAGUGGGGGAUAACGUCCAGAAAUGGACGCUAAUACCGCAUAAUCCAUAUUGGGAAAGCAUUGCAGCGCUUUGAGAUGAGCCCAUGGCUGAUUAGCUAGUUGGUGAGGUAAUGGCUCACCAAGGCGACGAUCAGUAGCUGGUCUGAGAGGAUGACCAGCCACACUGGAACUGAGACACGGUCCAGACUCCUACGGGAGGCAGCAGUGGGGAAUCUUGCGCAAUGGGGGCAACCCUGACGCAGCCAUACCGCGUGAGUGAUGAAGGUCUUCGGAUUGUAAAGCUCUUUCGGCGGGGACGACGAUGACGGUACCCGCAAAAGAAGUCACGGCUAACUUCGUGCCAGCCGCCGCCGUAA